Long non-coding RNA from Nilaparvata lugens (brown planthopper), 440 nucleotides. RefSeq lists it as uncharacterized. NCBI's taxonomy places the organism in Eukaryota, Metazoa, Arthropoda, Insecta, Hemiptera, Delphacidae. The record is from RefSeq and is a predicted model, not a curated record. The transcript has 2 exons.
GUAUUAUUUUUAAAGGAAGCCCUGUGAUUGUUGAUCCGGAGGUUUAGGGCAGUUUGGGGCAGUGGUGGUUUCACCUAUAUAGAAGGCAGUACAGAAGUUGCAAGGAAGGAGGUAGAUGCAAUUACUGGAUUGAUGAAUUUGGUGGGUGUAGUUGGUGAUAGGACUAGUGAAGGAGAUGGAAGAAUCAGUGAUAGGACAGGUUUUAUAGUGGGGGCGUUUGCAAGGUAGGGUACCAGGUGGAGUUGAGAUUUCAUCGGAGAUAUUUGGAUUGGAAAUCGGACCUGAAUUCAAGUGUAUGGAACAUAACUUACUUCUUGGACUAGUAAUAGUGUAUAAAUAUAAAUUCGGACAAGAAACAGUCUUUGGAUGUGCAUAUUAGUCCUUCGCCAAUCAUUUUAGAGAAUUGUGUUUUGCUUAUCAAUAAAUAAAUAACGAGAGAA